RNAcentral lists this ribosomal RNA (979 nucleotides) under Escherichia coli. Its description in RNAcentral is "partial 23S ribosomal RNA". It matches the Rfam family "Bacterial large subunit ribosomal RNA", at positions 1943 to 2916 of the family's 2925-position model. Lineage: Bacteria; Pseudomonadati; Pseudomonadota; Gammaproteobacteria; Enterobacterales; Enterobacteriaceae. The record is from RNAcentral.
UAACGGUCCUAAGGUAGCGAAAUUCCUUGUCGGGUAAGUUCCGACCUGCACGAAUGGCGUAAUGAUGGCCAGGCUGUCUCCACCCGAGACUCAGUGAAAUUGAACUCGCUGUGAAGAUGCAGUGUACCCGCGGCAAGACGGAAAGACCCCGUGAACCUUUACUAUAGCUUGACACUGAACAUUGAGCCUUGAUGUGUAGGAUAGGUGGGAGGCUUUGAAGUGUGGACGCCAGUCUGCAUGGAGCCGACCUUGAAAUACCACCCUUUAAUGUUUGAUGUUCUAACGUUGACCCGUAAUCCGGGUUGCGGACAGUGUCUGGUGGGUAGUUUGACUGGGGCGGUCUCCUCCUAAAGAGUAACGGAGGAGCACGAAGGUUGGCUAAUCCUGGUCGGACAUCAGGAGGUUAGUGCAAUGGCAUAAGCCAGCUUGACUGCGAGCGUGACGGCGCGAGCAGGUGCGAAAGCAGGUCAUAGUGAUCCGGUGGUUCUGAAUGGAAGGGCCAUCGCUCAACGGAUAAAAGGUACUCCGGGGAUAACAGGCUGAUACCGCCCAAGAGUUCAUAUCGACGGCGGUGUUUGGCACCUCGAUGUCGGCUCAUCACAUCCUGGGGCUGAAGUAGGUCCCAAGGGUAUGGCUGUUCGCCAUUUAAAGUGGUACGCGAGCUGGGUUUAGAACGUCGUGAGACAGUUCGGUCCCUAUCUGCCGUGGGCGCUGGAGAACUGAGGGGGGCUGCUCCUAGUACGAGAGGACCGGAGUGGACGCAUCACUGGUGUUCGGGUUGUCAUGCCAAUGGCACUGCCCGGUAGCUAAAUGCGGAAGAGAUAAGUGCUGAAAGCAUCUAAGCACGAAACUUGCCCCGAGAUGAGUUCUCCCUGACUCCUUGAGAGUCCUGAAGGAACGUUGAAGACGACGACGUUGAUAGGCCGGGUGUGUAAGCGCAGCGAUGCGUUGAGCUAACCGGUACUAAUGAACCGUGAGG